This 382-nucleotide ribosomal RNA is filed under the name uncultured bacterium. RNAcentral's name for it is "bacterial SSU rRNA". It matches the Rfam family "Bacterial small subunit ribosomal RNA", at positions 355 to 754 of the family's 1533-position model. The record is from RNAcentral.
UGGGGAAUAUUGGACAAUGGGCGAAAGCCUGAUCCAGCCAUGCCGCGUGAGUGAUGAAGGCCCUAGGGUUGUAAAGCUCUUUCACCGGUGAAGAUAAUGACGGUAGCCGGAGAAGAAGCCCCGGCUAACUUCGUGCCAGCAGCCGCGGUAAUACGAAGGGGGCUAGCGUUGUUCGGAAUUACUGGGCGUAAAGCGCACGUAGGCGGAUUGUUAAGUCGGGGGUGAAAUCCCGGGGCUCAACCCCGGAACUGCCUUCGAUACUGGCAAUCUAGCGUCCGGAAGAGGUGAGUGGAAUUCCGAGUGUAGAGGUGAAAUUCGUAGAUAUUCGGCGGAACACCAGUGGCGAAGGCCGCUCACUGGUCCGGUACUGACGCUGAGGUGC